This 564-nucleotide long non-coding RNA is filed under the name Vombatus ursinus (common wombat). RNAcentral describes it as "lncRNA (ENSVURG00010017353.1)". Lineage: Eukaryota; Metazoa; Chordata; Mammalia; Diprotodontia; Vombatidae. The record is from RNAcentral.
GUGGGUGGGGUGUAAGUUCAGGUGCUAUUUUUAUCACUGUGGCUCUUGAAGGUAAAAAACUUAAGAACACAUGGGAGAAUAUAGGAAAUGAAAAGCUGCCUAUGAAGAUGUUGUCUGAGAAAUGAUGGCUUGAUAUACAUGAAUGAUCUUUUUCAGUCACAUCUGACUCUUCCUGACCCUGUGUUUAUUCACUGACUAAUUGACUAAUCAUCCUUGGAACACUGGCUGCUGAGGCCACUGAGCACUAAUGAAGGAGAGCAGAAAACUGAGCAACAGAAAUUACUUGAAACAAAUAGUGAUUUCUUUAUGUGAGGAAAUGGCCCUGCUUCACGAAAAUGAAGACAGAAUGUGAAGUCAUCAAGUCAACAAGUAUUUAAAAGCAGCUGCUGUGUGCCAGGUGCUGUGCUGAAUGUUGGGGAUUCCAAGUGAAGAGAAAAGAAUGGUGGAUCUGGGGUCAGAAGACCUGGGCUGAAGUCCAGAUCUGUGAUUUCAUUGUCAUAGGAAACGCCCACUACCCAUGCUGAGAGGCAUCUGAAUAAAAAAGUAAAUGAAAAAGAAUAAACA